AACGAACGCUGGCGGCAUGCCUAACACAUGCAAGUCGAACGGGAUCCUAGCUUGCUAGGUGAGAGUGGCGGACGGGUGAGUAACACGUGGGAAUCUGCCUUUUGGUUCGGGAUAACCGCGGGAAACUGCGGCUAAUACCGAAUGCCCUCGAGAGAGGAAAGAUUUAUCGCCAGAAGAGGAGCCCGCGUCCGAUUAGGUAGUUGGUGGGGUAAAGGCCUACCAAGCCGACGAUCGGUAGCUGGUCUGAGAGGAUGAUCAGCCACACUGGGACUGAGAUACGGCCCAGACUCCUACGGGAGGCAGCAGUGGGGAAUAUUGGACAAUGGGGGCAACCCUGAUCCAGCAAUGCCGCGUGAGUGAUGAAGGCCUUAGGGUUGUAAAGCUCUUUUGCCAGGGAAGAUGAUGACUGUACCUGGAGAAUAAGCCCGGCUAACUUCGUGCCAGCAGCCGCGGUAAU
RNAcentral lists this ribosomal RNA (457 nucleotides) under uncultured bacterium. RNAcentral describes it as "bacterial SSU rRNA". It matches the Rfam family "Bacterial small subunit ribosomal RNA", at positions 29 to 524 of the family's 1533-position model. The record is from RNAcentral.